AAUCUGUUAUGUGGACAUUUUUGAAUCAAAAUUUUGAAGCGUUCCCACACAUCAUAAAAGCUUUCUCCUUCCAUCUGUCUAAAGACAAAAAUCUUUCUCCUUAAUUAGACU
Gossypium hirsutum (cotton) is the source of this 111-nucleotide non-coding RNA. The record is from Rfam. Lineage: Eukaryota; Viridiplantae; Streptophyta; Magnoliopsida; Malvales; Malvaceae.